AAAGUUUAAACGGUUAAAUGCACUUCAACAAAGCACAAGAAGGUUAGAAACACGCCACGCGACUACAUAUAUCGGCAACAGGAUGUCAGGCACGUGCCGCUUUGCGUAAUGUGUCGUGUGACCAAAUCGACCAAUCGCCGCAAGUUCGCAACUAAUUGGACAAAGAAAUGCACUUAAUGACACUUAAUAUUGAUCUGAUUUUACUCAUUCAUUGCUCUAACAAACGGUAUGUGCAACGUUUUUUUCAACGUCUGUCGCUGGAAUAAUGCAUCAUUUGGUCGCUGUUCAUGAACACGAUGCCAGAUUGCUUAUUAUCUCCGAAGUGCCGGAAUGUAAUUCAAUCUUCGCUAAGAGUUGUUGUUUAGGUUAACUCUUACAAAAGUCAUCUUAGAAGAAAGCACGCCAAUGUUGACUUAAACUCACGUCAUCUAUGUUGCGUUGAAUCAGCGAGUAGCACUCACAACAAUUUUUGUCCUGAUGAGGAUGGCCUUGAACUCUUAAUUGAUGAAUUCAACAUGGAAAAUGAACUUGAUGACUCUGUUCAAGCAAUGGAACACAAAAAGGCUCAAUUUCUUCUAAAAACAAAAGAAAUCAAUCUGCUCACACAAAAAUGUGUGGAUAACAUUGUAGAAGAAUCCACUGAACUUGUCCAAGGAACAGUCAAAGCAUUUAAACACGGUUUACAAAAUUGCUUAGAGAAAGCUGGAUUAAAUUAUAAUGAUGUGCCAGGUCUUGAUGAAUUAUUUGAUGAAGAACAUGCUAUCUCAAGUCCAUUCAAACAUAUUUCCACAAAGUAUAAAUAGAAUGCUUAUUUUGAGGAGCAUUUUGGCUUAGUUCAACUCAGACGAAUUAAACUUGGACACAGAGUUGUGAAAAGACGUUCAAGGACUGUGUACAAAGAGGUUAUUAAAGAUAAUGAAAUCAUGUACAUACCACUGCUUAAAUCCUUGGAAAAAAUGCUCAAUGUAAAAGGAGUACUUGAACAGGUCAGAUUGUUAAUAGCAUGGUUGUGUUUUUUUAUGUUGGCAAGUUUAUCAAACUAUGACAACUACAUCUUUGCAAGUACCCAUAUCAAUAACAGGGUUGCAAAAUAUUAAUACAUGUUCUAUGUAUAACCAUAAAAGGAACUUUAUGUGUGUUUUACUGUGUUAGUUUCCAUGAA
This is a long non-coding RNA of Xenia sp. Carnegie-2017, 1162 nucleotides long. RefSeq lists it as uncharacterized. NCBI's taxonomy places the organism in Eukaryota, Metazoa, Cnidaria, Anthozoa, Malacalcyonacea, Xeniidae. The transcript has 4 exons. The record is from RefSeq and is a predicted model, not a curated record.